AAUUUGGGAGUGGAUGCUCCACACAAGCUGGCGAACCACUUUUUGUUCAGCUUCCCAUUCAUAAAAAACAAGUUCAAAAACAUAUAGUAAAGUUUCUCUCAGAUUCUAUAUAAUACUUACGCGGCAUGGACAGGGAUAGCGAUCUCCUCCUGUCCGAAGAAGAGCUUCUGAAACCCUUCAGAGCCAGGGUUGAUGAUUCCAGCAACAGAAGGCGUUUUUUUUUUUUUUUUUUUUUUUUACAGAAGGCGUUUCACGUCCUGUACAAGCAAAUCAUCUCAAAAACUCAUAUUGAUCCAAACCAAACCACUGUAAAGUUUGUCAAUGUACCACAGAGGAAAUCAGAAAUCGAGCAUUCGUUGAACAUGGAGCUGCUUAUAGUUGUAGAACAGAGCUUGUGUGGUCCGAGAAAACAGUUGUCCCGUUGCCAUUUUUGGGAAGAGCUCAAAAAGGAUCAAUAGGAACAACAAUUUGGUACACCUUUGAUUAAAACUUGUGUAUAAAUCAUCAUUUUAAACUUCUCUUUUCUGAAACAUGAUUUUCUUAAGAUAAAAUGAAUCGGCUAUAGAAUGAACUAUCAAUUUAUCUUUAACGCUCAUGUUGCUGCAUGUCAAUCAACGAAUGCUACUUCUUCUUCAA
This is a long non-coding RNA of Brassica napus (rape), 636 nucleotides long. RefSeq lists it as uncharacterized. The record is from RefSeq and is a predicted model, not a curated record. NCBI's taxonomy places the organism in Eukaryota, Viridiplantae, Streptophyta, Magnoliopsida, Brassicales, Brassicaceae. The transcript is spliced from 2 exons.